UGGUCAUGAUGUUUGUGCAGGAAUAAAAACCCUGACUAA
Molecule: non-coding RNA, 39 nt
Filed under: Mus musculus (house mouse)
Lineage: Eukaryota; Metazoa; Chordata; Mammalia; Rodentia; Muridae
Source: RNAcentral